This 318-nucleotide long non-coding RNA is filed under the name Brachypodium distachyon (stiff brome). Its description in RNAcentral is "long non-coding RNA (BDIS_LNC001416)". Lineage: Eukaryota; Viridiplantae; Streptophyta; Magnoliopsida; Poales; Poaceae. The record is from RNAcentral.
ACAUAAUUCUGCUGCAUCCGAUAUUAUCAACCAAUAUUAAGCCCAUUCCGAAGACCAAGAGCUUCAGCCACCAGCGGAGGUAGAAAUUCAAAUAUUUUGACGUCGAGGGGAGCCGACUAAAAGAGUCAAACGAAAUUUUUGUUUUUUUCAUGUAGUUAACAAGUAAAUGCCACGUGUUAGGCGGGCCCUUGGCCCUGUUGGUCACCCUCCACCAUAGGCUCAGCUAUUGCCGCACUGCCAAUGUGGAGGAUGAACGAGGUUGUCGUCGCCAUGAAAAACCUCUGAUCAUCACUUUAUAUGUCUGAUUUUUUUUGUUAC